GAGUCUUGUUUCUCUUUUCUCGUGUUUCUAUUCUAGGGUUUCAUCCCUUUGGUCUACCUUUCAUUGGGGCAAGGGAAGACCUCCCUUCUUCAGCCCAGCUUGAGGGUUUCCUCCCUCGUUUUGGUCGGAAUGUAUAUAUUUUUUGUGUUUUUUCGUUAUUGACAACCGAGCUGAUGGGUGAGGGUUGCUUCUAGGUGCUGUCUUCGUUUGUCCUGUUUUUUCUUCUUUCCUUUGGUGUUGCAGAUUGUGUUAUCUCUGAUGUUGGGGCUAUCUCCAGAUUGUGUUCACGGGGCUAGACUUUGUGGUUGUCCCAGUCUUGCAAGGCUCGUAUAUGAGUUAGAGGUCUGCAGUCCCGUCUGUUGUCAUCCUUCCAUGGCUUGGAGUGCUCAAAUCCAUGUUCUCUUCCUAUGUUAUCAGAAGUGGCACAAGAGUUCUCACUAUUGUUCGGUCGCUGCUGCCUUAGAUUUGAUGUCUCUCCUUGGCGAUGGGCAUAAUCUGUGUUUUAUGGGCAUCUUGCUUUUCCAGCUACAGAUCUGGAUUGUGUCUUUGCAUGAAGAAUUUAUUGGCUUUUCCAGCAGCUAUGGUAGCUUGGAGAGGUGAGGAGUCCCUCUUUUCGGCCAGCUCUGAACGUGUUAAAUUUAACGUCUUUUCUCUUCUAUUUUCUCAUUUCUCUUUUCUCUUAUAUUGUGAUUGAAAAGGUGCAUGUGUGCA
Molecule: long non-coding RNA, 711 nt
Filed under: Manihot esculenta (cassava)
Lineage: Eukaryota; Viridiplantae; Streptophyta; Magnoliopsida; Malpighiales; Euphorbiaceae
Description: long non-coding RNA (MESC_LNC007615)
Source: RNAcentral